AACGAACGCUGGCGGCAUGCCUAACACAUGCAAGUCGAACGAGACCUUCGGGUCUAGUGGCGCACGGGUGCGUAACGCGUGGGAACCUGCCCUUAGGUUCGGAAUAACUCCCCGAAAGGGGUGCUAAUACCGGAUAAUGUCUUCGGACCAAAGAUUUAUCGCCUUUGGAUGGGCCCGCGUUGGAUUAGCUAGUUGGUAGGGUAAAAGCCUACCAAGGCGACGAUCCAUAGCUGGUCUGAGAGGAUGAUCAGCCACACGGGGACGGAGACACGGCCCAGACUCUGCCGGAGGCCGGCGGGGGGGAUUAUUGAACAGGGGGCAACCGCCGUCUCGAGACUUGCCGGGGGGGGAAUGAAGGCGUUAGGGGGAAAAAGCUUUUUUCCCCGGGUGCAUAAUGACGUUACGGGGGAAAAGGCCCCCGCCAAUCUCCGUG
RNAcentral lists this ribosomal RNA (433 nucleotides) under uncultured bacterium. RNAcentral's name for it is "partial 16S ribosomal RNA". It matches the Rfam family "Bacterial small subunit ribosomal RNA", at positions 29 to 507 of the family's 1533-position model. The record is from RNAcentral.